RNAcentral lists this long non-coding RNA (345 nucleotides) under Elaeis guineensis (African oil palm). Its description in RNAcentral is "long non-coding RNA (EGUI_LNC010826)". The record is from RNAcentral. Lineage: Eukaryota; Viridiplantae; Streptophyta; Magnoliopsida; Arecales; Arecaceae.
GUGUCUUAUAUCCUCAAAAUCCUGUUAAUCAUGUCCAUUCUGAACCUUUCGGCCCCUCUAAGAUCUGCAACCUGAAAAAAGGCCUUUUAAUUAGCAGACAAUUGUAUUCUAGGUGCAUUAUGUGAAAGCUUGAUAUCAUGAUUCCUCUCCAAUGAUGGAUUGAACCCAUUUUGAAUUUUAUCAAGUUUCUGCAAUCCUUCAGUCAGUAAUACCACAUUCAUCUUUCUAUAUUUGAAGCUAACAAGUGGUAACCCAUGCUGCGUCUCACUCUCAUCUUCCUAUUUAAGAAAUAGCUGUUGUCAGUUACAAUUAAUGCUUCAGACGUGGUUGGAGAAAAAACAGGCA